AUUGAACGCUGGCGGCAUGCUUUACACAUGCAAGUCGGACGGCAGCACAGUGAAGCUUGCUUCUUGGGUGGCGAGUGGCGCGCGGGUGAGUAACAUAUCGGAACGUACCGAGCUUUGGGGGAUAACUAGUCGGAAGAUUAACUAAUACCCCAUAUCUUCUGAGGAAGAAAGCAGAGGACCAUUUGGCCUUGCGCUGUUUGAGCGGCCGAUAUCUGAUUAGCUAGUUGGUGGGGUAAAGGCCUACCAAGGCGACGAUCAGUAGCGGGUCUGAGAGGAUGAUCAGCCACACUGGAACUGAGACACGGCCCAGACUCCUACGGGAGGCAGCAGUGGGGAAUUUUGGACAAUGGGCGCAAGCCUGAUCCAGCCAUGCCGCGUGUCUGAAGAAGGCCUUCGGGUUGUAAAGGACUUUUGUCAGGGAAGAAAAGGGCGGGGUUAAUACCCCUGUCUGAUGACGGUACCUGAAGAAUAAGCACCGGCUAACUACGUG
Molecule: ribosomal RNA, 490 nt
Filed under: uncultured bacterium
Lineage: Bacteria
Description: partial 16S ribosomal RNA
Rfam family: Bacterial small subunit ribosomal RNA
Source: RNAcentral